Molecule: unclassified non-coding RNA, 852 nt
Filed under: Leishmania donovani
Lineage: Eukaryota; Euglenozoa; Kinetoplastea; Trypanosomatida; Trypanosomatidae
Description: gene:unknown
Source: RNAcentral
CCCUUCCAAGCGUCUUCCUUUCGCCACAACGUGGAACGGCAUAUGCGACGUGCAGCGUUGGACAACUCAGCCGAAAGCACUGCUAAGCCGAACAGAGACAUGCCAAUAUCAUAGACUGUCCGCCGGCACUGACAGCAACACAUGGGGAGAGGGCGAGGGCCAGCACUCCAGCGAUCUGUGGAUUACAGUGCGUGCGUGCGCCGCCUCUUCUCUUUUACUUCUUUGUGCAUGUAUCUGCGCUUUUUGUUUUCUUCUUAUGACAUCGUCUGGCCCCUGACGACGGGGGGGAGGGCACCUCGGUGCGUGGUAGCUCAGGACCCCGCGCCCCCCCACCCAGAGCGGGUCGGGGGAGGCCCAGCAGCAGCCCUAUCCCUGCCACACGUCUCGAGGCACCUCUGGUGGUGGCAGGGCCGAGCACCGACGACGUAGGGGGAGGCCCGAGCGCUGCAUCGCCCCUGAUGUCGGCGGCCAGGCCGUGGAUGGCGUGGUGUCGGAGCGGCCUGCGACAGUGCACACGUCUGAGCCAUGCACAUGAUAGGCAGAGCGUCAGCGUGGCUCAAGCGUAUCUCCCACUCCCCGCCCCCUCACUGCCCACUGGUUGGAGGGGCCUGGGUGUCGCCGCCGAGGGGGACGCGCCAGGUGGCGGCCGGCAUAGUGUGAGCGGCGGUGAGGCGACCCGCGGAGCGGGGGUGCUGGGUGGCGUUUGAGGCCGAGGCGGCCCACUCAGAUGGCUGAGUGGGCGCACUGCUGUAGCGCGUGUCUAGGGCUGCGUCGCGCCAGGCGACGGGCCUUUGGCGGGCCGGGUAGAGCUGAGUUGAGGUCGUGCUCUGUGACAGCGACAUGGAAACGCAG